This 400-nucleotide ribosomal RNA is filed under the name uncultured bacterium. Its description in RNAcentral is "bacterial SSU rRNA". It matches the Rfam family "Bacterial small subunit ribosomal RNA", at positions 355 to 771 of the family's 1533-position model. The record is from RNAcentral.
UAGGGAAUUUUGCGCAAUGGGCGAAAGCCUGACGCAGCAACACCGCGUGAGUGAUGAAGCAUCUUGGUGUGUAAAACUCUGUCAGAGGGGACGAAUUUUGACGGUACCCUCAAAGGAAGCAUCGGCUAACUACGUGCCAGCAGCCGCGGUAAGACGUAGGAUGCAAGCGUUGUCCGGAAUUAUUGGGCGUAAAGAGUUCGUAGGCGGCAUGUAAAGUCUGGUGUUAAAGCCCGGAGCUCAACUCCGGUUCGGCAUUGGAUACUUACAAGCUAGAGUGCAGAAGAGGCAAGGGGAAUUCCUAGUGUAGCGGUGAAAUGCGUAGAUAUUAGGAGGAACACCGGUGGCGUAAGCGCCUUGCUGGGCUGUAACUGACGCUGAGGAACGAAAGCCAGGGGAGCAA